RNAcentral lists this small RNA (559 nucleotides) under Dothiora prunorum. Its description in RNAcentral is "eukaryotic LSU rRNA". The stretch from base 178 to 331 matches the Rfam family "5.8S ribosomal RNA". Lineage: Eukaryota; Fungi; Ascomycota; Dothideomycetes; Dothideales; Dothioraceae. The record is from RNAcentral.
GAUUAAGGAGACUGGCCGNACCUCCACCCUCUGUUGUUAUAACUACUUCGUUGCUUUGGCGGGACCGCAAAGGUUCUCCCGAGCGCGCCGGUCUUCGGACAGGCGAGCGCCCGCCAGAGUCUAACCAAACUCUUGUUUUAAACCAGUCGUCUGAGUAUAAAAUUUUAAUUAAAUUAAAACUUUCAACAACGGAUCUCUUGGUUCUCGCAUCGAUGAAGAACGCAGCGAAAUGCGAUAAGUAAUGUGAAUUGCAGAAUUCAGUGAAUCAUCGAAUCUUUGAACGCACAUUGCGCCCCUUGGUAUUCCGAGGGGCAUGCCUGUUCGAGCGUCAUUACACCACUCAAGCACCGCUUGGUAUUGGGCAUCGUCCGCUGUAAAGGCGGGCGUGCCUCGAAGACCUCGGCGGGGUUUCUCCAACUUCGGGCGUAGUAGAGUUAAAUCAAAACGUCUUAUAAGCUUGGUGAGAUCUCAUUGCCGUUAAACCUUUUUAUAUUUCAGGUUGACCUCGGAUCAGGUAGGGAUACCCGCUGAACUUAAGCAUAUCAAUAAGCGGAGGAAA